RNAcentral lists this ribosomal RNA (441 nucleotides) under uncultured bacterium. RNAcentral's name for it is "bacterial SSU rRNA". It matches the Rfam family "Bacterial small subunit ribosomal RNA", at positions 22 to 507 of the family's 1533-position model. The record is from RNAcentral.
GGUCAGAACGAACGCUGGCGGCAUGCCUAACACAUGCAAGUUGAACGAGGUCCUUUGGGGCCUAGUGGCGCCCGGGUGGGUAACGCGUGGGAAUUUGCCCCUUGAUUUGGAAUAACAGUUAGAAAUGACUGGUAAUUCCGGAUGAUGUUUUUGGACCAAAGAUUUAUUGGCAAGGGAUGAGCCCGCGUAGGAUUAGGUAGUUGGUGGGGUAAAGGCCUACCAAGCCGACGAUCCUUAGGUGGUUUGAGAGGAUGAUUAGCCACACUGGGACUGAGACACGGCCCAGACUCCUUCGGGAGGCAGCAGUGGGGAAUAUUGGACAAUGGGGGAAAGCCUGGGCCAGCAAUGCCGCGUGAGUGAUGAAGGCCUUAGGGUUGUAAAGCUUUUUUUCCAGGGAUGAUAAUGACUUUUAAAGGGGAAUAAGCUCCGGCUAACUCCGUG